RNAcentral lists this ribosomal RNA (429 nucleotides) under uncultured bacterium. RNAcentral's name for it is "bacterial SSU rRNA". It matches the Rfam family "Bacterial small subunit ribosomal RNA", at positions 56 to 479 of the family's 1533-position model. The record is from RNAcentral.
UGCAAGUGGAGCGACGAACCAGGGCUUGCCCUGGGGCAGAGCCGCGAACGGGUGAGUAACACGUGGGUUACCUGCCCCGAUGACCGGGACAACCCGAGGAAACUCGGGCUAAUACCGGAUGUGGUCUUCGGACGAAAGGAAGCUUCGGCCUCCGCAUCGGGAUGGGCCCGCGGCGCAUUAGCUUGUUGGUGGGGUAACGGCCUACCAAGGCUUCGAUGCGUAGCUGGUCUGAGAGGACGAUCAGCCACACUGGGACUGAGACACGGCCCAGACUCCUACGGGAGGCAGCAGUGGGGAAUCUUGCGCAAUGCGCGAAAGCGUGACGCAGCAAACGCCGCGUGGGGGAAAGACGGCCUUCGGGUUGUAAACCUCUUUCAGUUGGGGACGAGGCCAUCCNGGUUAAUAGCCCGGUUUUGGGUUGACGGUACC